Molecule: ribosomal RNA, 449 nt
Filed under: uncultured bacterium
Lineage: Bacteria
Description: partial 16S ribosomal RNA
Rfam family: Bacterial small subunit ribosomal RNA
Source: RNAcentral
AGCGAACGCUGGCGGCAGGCCUAAAACAUGCAAGUCGAACGCCCUAGCAAUAGGGAGUGGCAGACGGGUGAGUAACACGUGGGAACGUGCCUUUUGGUUCGGAACAACACAGGGAAACUUGUGCUAAUACCGGAUAAGCCCUUACGGGGAAAGAUUUAUCGCCAAAAGAUCGGCCCGCGUCUGAUUAGCUAGUUGGUGGGGUAACGGCCCACCAAGGCUACGAUCAGUAGCUGGUCUGAGAGGAUGAUCAGCCACACUGGGACUGAGACACGGCCCAGACUCCUACGGGAGGCAGCAGUUAGGAAUCUUGGACAAUGGGCGCAAGCCUGAUCCAGCCAUGCCGCGUGAGUGAUGAAGGCCUUAGGGUUGUAAAGCUCUCUCAGCGGGGAAGAUAAUGACGGUACCCGCAGAAGAAGCCCCGGCUAACUUCGUGCCAGCAGCCGCCGCGG